Alnus glutinosa is the source of this 1106-nucleotide long non-coding RNA. RefSeq lists it as uncharacterized. The record is from RefSeq and is a predicted model, not a curated record. NCBI's taxonomy places the organism in Eukaryota, Viridiplantae, Streptophyta, Magnoliopsida, Fagales, Betulaceae. The transcript is spliced from 3 exons.
UUCCUUAUAUUCUUUCUUCUUCUUAUCCUCUCUUCCGACGAGAUACAGAGAGACUGAAGAGAGUGAAAUCGAGAGAGAUGAGAUACUAAGAGAGAGAGAACAGAGAGAGUUAGAGAGAUAGAGGGAGUGAGAGCCAGAGAUUGAGGGAGAGACUUGAGGGAUAGAGAGAGAGAUGUCGAGAGAGAGAGACUCGGGAGAUAGAGAGAGAUCGGAGAGAGAGGGCAGAGAUACCGAGAGAUCGGGAGAGAGGGAGCCGAACCCAGGGAGCUCCGACCUUCCAUGAUCGGCGGUGCGGCUGGGACUGGAAUCCGGUGAGGGAAGAGCUCCGAUCGUGAAGCCGUGGUGUCCGUGCGACCCGCAACCCGCCGGACCCGAGAGCCCUAAUGCCCGAUCCUCUCUGUCCGGCGGCCUGAGACGCGAUUUCCGGCGUUUGGGGGCUGCUUUCCGGUGGUUUUUCGUCGGUAGUGGACUGCCUGCAACCCGGACGACCCAUGACCGUGCAACCCGCGACCCGCGAGCCAAACCCGACGGAUCCGGGAGAACCCGUGCGACCCGAACCUCCCGGAGGUUCGGUCCUCCAUGACCGGCGGCCAGACGCCGAUUUCCGGCAAGUUAAGGCAACUUUCCGGCCGAUUCACGAAGCCCGAAGCCCCUGACCCGAAAACCCGACCCGGUGACCGACGACCCGAGAGGAAGACCCGGUUCUUCCUGUGCGUUUUCUGGUGGCUUUUCCGGUGGAUUUUUUGAUUAAGUCCUCAAGGUAAAAGGUCGAUCUUGACGCUAAUGGAAAGUCCUGAUGACAACCGUAAGAAGAAGUCUUUUUCUUGUAAGGGCAUAGACCUCGCUGAGAGCGAUAGUUCGUGAUGAACCAGCCAAACCCUAAUAUUGUAUAGUAUGAUUUGUUCCUUUUGGAGUUCAUGAUUUUGUAUAGAUUAUUAAUAGAAAGGUUUAAUUAAAAUUUGAGUUUUAAAUUUAUUUGUUGUAAUUGCACGCUUCUAUUUUAUGAUUUUAGUACUCAAACUCACGUUUUCCUUAUUUCCCAAAACGGGGGCGUGACAGUGGGUCUUUUUCCAGUAAACAUUUCUAAUAGAAAGAUCCCAUAGCUA